Non-coding RNA from Maylandia zebra (zebra mbuna), 322 nucleotides. NCBI's taxonomy places the organism in Eukaryota, Metazoa, Chordata, Actinopteri, Cichliformes, Cichlidae. The record is from RefSeq and is a predicted model, not a curated record.
UAGUCUGAAAGAGCUGGACCUGAGUAACAAUGACCUGCGGGAUUCAGGAGUGAAGCUUCUGUCUGCUGUACUGCAGAGUCCACAUUGUACACUGGAAACUCUCAGAUUGUGGGACUGUGGUUUGUCAGAGAUCAGCUGUGAUUAUCUGGCAGCAGCUCUGAAGUCCAACCCCUCGUAUCCCAGAGUGCUGGACCUGAGUGGAACCUACAACAACCUGCAGGAUUCAGGAGUGAAGCAGCUGUGUGUUCUUCUGGAGAAUCCACGAUGUCGAUUUGAAACUCUGAGACUGAGUCACUGUGACCUGUCAGAGAGAAGCUGUGAA